CCUACGGGGGGCUGCAGUGGGGAAUAUUGGACAAUGGGGGCAACCCUGAUCCAGCCAUGCCGCGUGUGUGAAGAAGGCCCGCGGGUUGUAAAGCACUUUCAGUGAGGAAGAACGCCUGGUGGUUAAUACCCAUCAGGAAAGACAUCACUCACAGAAGAAGCACCGGCUAACUCCGUGCCAGCAGCCGCGGUAAUACGGAGGGUGCGAGCGUUAAUCGGAAUUACUGGGCGUAAAGCGCGCGUAGGUGGCUUGAUAAGCCGGUUGUGAAAGCCCCGGGCUCAACCUGGGAACGGCAUCCGGAACUGUCAAGCUAGAGUGCAGGAGAGGAAGGUAGAAUUCCCGGUGUAGCGGUGAAAUGCGUAGAGAUCGGGAGGAAUACCAGUGGCGAAGGCGGCCUUCUGGACUGACACUGACACUGAGGUGCGAAAGCGUGGGUAGCAAACAGGAUUAGAUACCCUGGUAGUC
This 465-nucleotide ribosomal RNA is filed under the name Vreelandella stevensii. RNAcentral's name for it is "partial 16S ribosomal RNA". It matches the Rfam family "Bacterial small subunit ribosomal RNA", at positions 338 to 795 of the family's 1533-position model. Lineage: Bacteria; Pseudomonadati; Pseudomonadota; Gammaproteobacteria; Oceanospirillales; Halomonadaceae. The record is from RNAcentral.